UCGGUACGUACUGGUGUUACUGAUUCCUACCUUCUGACGAACCAUCAUGUCAUUAGUUUGGUGUGGUGGGGAAUCAGGACUGUUACUUUGAAAAAAUUAGAGUGUUUAAAGCAGGCUCGCGCUUGAAUACAUUAGCAUGGAAUAAUGAAAUAGGACGUUGAUCCUAUUUUGUUGGUUUCUAGGAUCGACGUAAUGAUUAAUAGGGAUAGUUGGGGGCAUUAGUAUUCAAUUGUCAGAGGUGAAAUUCUUGGAUUUAUUGAAGACUAACUACUGCGAAAGCAUUUGCCAAGGAUGUUUUCAUUAAUCAAGAACGAAAGUUAGGGGAUCGAAGACGAUCAGAUACCGUCGUAGUCUUAACCAUAAACUAUGCCGACUAGGGAUCGGAUGAUGUUAAUUUUUUAAUGACUCAUUCGGCGCCUUACG
RNAcentral lists this ribosomal RNA (423 nucleotides) under uncultured Glomeromycotina. RNAcentral describes it as "SSU rRNA". It matches the Rfam family "Eukaryotic small subunit ribosomal RNA", at positions 670 to 1092 of the family's 1831-position model. Lineage: Eukaryota; Fungi; Glomeromycota. The record is from RNAcentral.